Triticum dicoccoides is the source of this 753-nucleotide long non-coding RNA. RefSeq lists it as uncharacterized. Lineage: Eukaryota; Viridiplantae; Streptophyta; Magnoliopsida; Poales; Poaceae. The transcript has 3 exons. The record is from RefSeq and is a predicted model, not a curated record.
GUCAACGAGUGAUGCUUCAUAGCGGACAACUACUGGUUUUAAUAUGCAAACAACAACAGUGCCAGAGAUGCUAUGUAAUAAUUAAUGUGUACUUGUUGAAAGUUCUUGCUUAUAUUAGUGUCUCUUAUUUCUUUUCUAAUUAAUGUCUCUCAUUUUUGUUCUAGUUAAUGUGUAACUGAGAAUGAACAUACUUCUCUCUUUUUAGACUGCUAGAUUGCACAAGUUGAACGAUCUGCUCUAGUUUAAACAAGUUGGGAUACAUCAAUAUAAUAGGACUUUGUUUGCACUUCACCUAGCUUGUAACCAAUAUCCUUAUUGCCAAUUUACCUCAAGUUUAUCUAACAUGGUUGAAAUGAGCGAUGUAAAGUUUCAUGUCUAAGCUCAAUUUUUAUCCUAAGUCCUGAAGUAAUUAUUUUGGUUACAUCAUAGUUUGCUGAGAAUAUUAACUUGAACAUUGUAUGUAUGCCCUGAUGCAUGUACACACACGGCAUCAAAUAUUGAGCUGCAGCGAAACAACCUGGAGCUAGAGAACAUCAAGGAUAAGAUCAAGGAAGUUCUUGCCUUGUUGGCAACAUUGUGAGAUCAUGACCAAGCAUGACAAGAAGGGAGGCUCGUCAACCACCUACCAGCACACCUAUCAUGACCGAUGAUGAGACGUUGAAGGUUACGAGAGAUGAUGCUGGAGAGAUGCCCUUCCUGUAGGUCUGCACAUAAGCGGAAGUUCCUGGGUAUGCAAGAUUUGAUGGUUAAAAU